CCCGCUGAACUUAAGCAUAUCAGUAAGCGGAGGAAAAGAAACUAACAAGGAUUCCCCUAGUAACGGCGAGCGAAGCGGGAAGAGCUCAAAUUUAAAAUCUGGUAGGCCUAGCCUAUCCGAAUUGUAGUUUAAAGAGGCGUUAUCUGGCCUUUGCUCGGUGCUCAAGUCCCUUGGAAUAGGGCGUCACAGAGGGUGAGAACCCCGUCUGGGCACUGGGUAGAGGCCUAUAUGAGGCGUUCUCUACGAGUCGGGUUGUUUGGGAAUGCAGCUCAAAAUGGGUGGUAAAUUUCAUCUAAGGCUAAAUACUGGCAAGAGACCGAUAGCGAACAAGUACCGUGAGGGAAAGAUGAAAAGCACCUUGAAAAGGGAGUUAAAUAGUGCGUGAAAUUGUUAAAAGGGAAACGAUUGAGACCAGUAUUGCUGCCGGUCGUUCAGCGUCGUGUUGGUGCAAGCCUGUGCGUCGUGUAUUCGAUUGGUAGCGAGUCAGCGUCAGUUUGGGUUUCCGGAGAGAGGUCAGAGGAAGAUGGGAUCGGCUUUCGGGUCAAUCUUUUAUAGACUCUGGCUGGCACGGGAGCCUGGACUGAGGUGUGCGACCGUAGUACUCUCAGUUUGAUACUAGCCCCCAAGGCCUUGGACUACAUGUAGACCUGGGUCGUAAGGGAUAGAGGUAAGGCUGAGCAUACGGUUCCAGGAUGCUGACGAAAUGGUCUUAAACGACCCGUCUUGAAACACGG
Molecule: ribosomal RNA, 734 nt
Filed under: uncultured fungus
Lineage: Eukaryota; Fungi
Description: eukaryotic LSU rRNA
Rfam family: Eukaryotic large subunit ribosomal RNA
Source: RNAcentral